CUCUUCCGUUCCCUCACUUUUCUCAUUCUACACAGCUUGGCGGAGGCGACGCAUGGCGGACGAUGCUGAGGGUUAGGGGUUCCGUGUAGCAGAGAGCCGGUCCGGCGACCCUGCCUCUCGGGAAAGCGGACCAGCCCGACGACACCCCUUGCCCAUCCAGGGGUGGGGCUCGGCGCCGGUGCCGGCGGAGGGCUGGCGGAGAGGCGAGGAUUAGCUCUGAACUGGGGGUGUGCCUCACCGCUGGUUGGGCGGCACGGCGGCAUUCGGCGGCCGCACCAGACAGCCUGACGCUCCCAUCCUCUUCUUCUUGUGUGUUCCGCACCUCGGUUCGUGUACAUUAUCAGUGUGCUGUGUUUGGAUCGAUGCCUGAUGUUUGUGUCCUAUGCAUCUCAUCGUGUGCAUCCGUCCGUUGCUCCUCUGUUUAGGCUGCGAACUACUGCUCGCUGUUGGUCGCCACAUUGCUUCAUAAAGUUCAGUACUUUCCUCCUUAAUCUUUGAUUUGUUGGUGUGGGUGCUUCGAUGUAUGCUUGACUUUUCCCUCCUCUGCAUGUCCGCCGGUGCCCGUCGGUCAUUACAGUGCCUAUGCUCCACCUCCCUCUCAAGCGUGCUUACAGGUUUGUGGUUGCCCUCCUGUAUCCUCUCUGUCUGUCUUUCGUCCUACCUACACCUGUGUGUACGCUUAAAAUGAAAUGCGGGUUCAGUCUGAUAGGAUGGGGAUGGCCAGAUGCUUGCAAGUUCAACUGUAGUGCUGGGUUUUGUGUACCCAAUUUCCUCGCAGCCCUAUUUGGGUUCGUUCAUACAGAGAUGUGUACUCUGGCUAAUAAUUUUUGUAUGAUGACUCUAUUAGUUCCUCUAUAGUAUGUUAGGCUGAUAUGUUGCCCAUAUCUGACUUCCUGCUUGGCCUGAGAUUCUCAAAAUCGUUCCCUUUAUGAA
Long non-coding RNA from Panicum virgatum (switchgrass), 933 nucleotides. RefSeq lists it as uncharacterized. The transcript is spliced from 2 exons. The record is from RefSeq and is a predicted model, not a curated record. NCBI's taxonomy places the organism in Eukaryota, Viridiplantae, Streptophyta, Magnoliopsida, Poales, Poaceae.